This 265-nucleotide ribosomal RNA is filed under the name uncultured archaeon. RNAcentral describes it as "partial 16S ribosomal RNA". It matches the Rfam family "Archaeal small subunit ribosomal RNA", at positions 718 to 982 of the family's 1478-position model. The record is from RNAcentral.
AGUCACUGACAUUAGACUACCCCCGUAGUCCCAGCCGUAAACUAUGCGCGUUAGGUGUAUCGGUGACCACGAGUUACCGAGGUGCCGAAGGGAAACCGUGAAACGUGCCGCCUGGGAAGUACGGUCGCAAGGCUGAAACUUAAAGGAAUUGGCGGGGAGCACCACAACAGGUGGAGCCUGCGGUUUAAUUGGACUCAACGCCGGGAAGCUCACCGGAUAGGACAGCAGAAUGAUUGCCGGGCUGAAGACCCUGCAUGACUAGCUG